Long non-coding RNA from Zonotrichia leucophrys gambelii, 1138 nucleotides. RefSeq lists it as uncharacterized. The record is from RefSeq and is a predicted model, not a curated record. NCBI's taxonomy places the organism in Eukaryota, Metazoa, Chordata, Aves, Passeriformes, Passerellidae. The transcript is spliced from 3 exons.
GAGGAGUUGCUGAUGAAGGCGCGGCGGAUGAGGUUCGCUGAGAGCCUGCUGCUGCAGGACGAGAGCCGAGCGGCCGAGAGCCCAACGAGGACCCUGCGAGAGGCGGCCCUCAGGUUCAUGGCUCUUCUCUUCAAGCCCUCAGGGAAGACAAGAGUCCAUCCUGCAUGAACACAUGGAUACAGAUGAAAUUCAAAGGAAGAUCUGCAGAACUUCGUUUGUCUCCUGCAGCAGAUGUACCUGUACCGGCCUCCUUCGAUGAUUUCCAGUUCCCAUCGAAGAUGGGACCGCCUGCAGAGCAGGGUGGACCAGCUGGAGCUCCAGGCACAGCUCUGGCUGCUCAGAGUGAGCCUGUGGAAAGCUCCAGCAGCUCCUGCCAUCUCUCUCCCUGUUGGCAGCUCCCUCCCUGCAGCCCUCAGGCCCUGCCCAUCCCCUUUUCUGCCUCCCAGCUCACCCCUUACCUUCGCUUUCCCUUAAUAAACUGUUUGGGUUUGCUUUACCCGUGUCUCUGUGGAGCUGAAGCAGCGCAAAACCUGAGCCCGGGGACACGCAGGGCCCUGCUGCCCUUGUCUUCCGUGCUGUGUUCCGGGCACGGACAGAGAGAAAAAGAAUAAAAUGGGAUUGGACUUCUUCUCAGGAAGAAGCAUUGCAAUUGCUGAUUCUUGAAGUGACAGCUCACCAAGCACUGGACCCUAUCCAUCUUAGAGAUCCCUUUCAGGUGGAGUGGGGAUUUGCCUCCUCACUGCCUUCAGUACACAUUUGGCAGCAGGGUCCUGAGGGUCUGACAAAGCCUGUUGGUUUUUAUUCCUGUGGUUUCAAAGAUGCUGAGGAAAGGUACACUACCUGGGAAGGCGGGGUGUUUGUGGUUACCUGUUACAUCUGCUCCCUAUUGUAUCUGUUUCCCCCCCCCACCCUCACAAUUUUCAGUAAUAAAAACCUCUGAGUUAGCUGGAGCCUUUGGGAUCUCCCCAGCAUAGCAGGCGGACCCUCGGCUGGACUGCACCAAAGGACUUCGUCUCUGCGUUGGUAGCUAUAUCCCCUCUCUCUCUCUCUCUAUCUUUUUCUCUCCCUUAAUCCCUCUAUUGCAUUUUUGCUGUAGUUAUUUCAAUAAAAUCACAUUUGAUUUGGUUAUCACUGCAAA